GAUGAACGCUGGCGGCGUGCCUAAUACAUGCAAGUCGAGCGAACAGAUGAGGAGCUUGCUCCUCUGACGUUAGCGGCGGACGGGUGAGUAACACGUGGAUAACCUACCUAUAAGACUGGGAUAACUUCGGGAAACCGGAGCUAAUACCGGAUAAUAUAUUGAACCGCAUGGUUCAAUAGUGAAAGACGGUUUUGCUGUCACUUAUAGAUGGAUCCGCGCCGCAUUAGCUAGUUGGUAAGGUAACGGCUUACCAAGGCAACGAUGCGUAGCCGACCUGAGAGGGUGAUCGGCCACACUGGAACUGAGACACGGUCCAGACUCCUACGGGAGGCAGCAGGAGGGAAUCUUCCGCAAUGGGCGAAAGCCUGACGGAGCAACGCCGCGGGAGUGAUGAAGGUCUUCGGAUCGUAAAACUCUGUUAUUAGGGAAGAACAAAUGUGUAAGUAACUAUGCACGUCUUGACGGUACCUAAGCAGAAAGCCACGGCUAACUACGU
This 496-nucleotide ribosomal RNA is filed under the name uncultured bacterium. RNAcentral's name for it is "partial 16S ribosomal RNA". It matches the Rfam family "Bacterial small subunit ribosomal RNA", at positions 28 to 506 of the family's 1533-position model. The record is from RNAcentral.